GGUGGUUCUCAGGUGAUGCACUCUGGAACUGGGCUUCCUCCUCUCUGGUUCCAGGUGCCACACCUAAGAACCGCA
Molecule: non-coding RNA, 75 nt
Organism: Myotis lucifugus (little brown bat)
Lineage: Eukaryota; Metazoa; Chordata; Mammalia; Chiroptera; Vespertilionidae
Source: Rfam